Molecule: long non-coding RNA, 260 nt
Organism: Symphalangus syndactylus (siamang)
Lineage: Eukaryota; Metazoa; Chordata; Mammalia; Primates; Hylobatidae
Source: RefSeq, a predicted model, not a curated record
AGCUGGGAACCUGGAUCUCCCAUAUAUUGGAAGUUUUGUAAAAACCUUGAGGGCCUCUUCCACUACAUAUGGGGAUUAUGGGAAUUGCAAUCCGAGAUGAGAUUUGAGUGAGGACAUAGCCAAACCACAUGGUUUUAGAACAUUGACAGAGAGAAGACAACCCACUUUGCCAUAUAUGCCCAUGUCGCACAAAUAGUUGAUGACAGAAAUAAGACCUGAGACUUCUGAUUCCAGACCCAGCGUUCUUCACUAGUGUCACU